This 421-nucleotide ribosomal RNA is filed under the name uncultured bacterium. RNAcentral describes it as "partial 16S ribosomal RNA". It matches the Rfam family "Bacterial small subunit ribosomal RNA", at positions 360 to 773 of the family's 1533-position model. The record is from RNAcentral.
AAUAUUCGACAAUGGGGGCAACCCUGAUCCAGCCAUCCCGCGUGUGUGAUGAAGGUCUCCGUAGUGUAUAGCACUUUAAGUUGGGAGGAAGGGCUUUAGGUGAAUACCCUGAAGUGUUGACGUGACCAACAGAAUAAGCACCGGCCAACCCUGUGCCAGCAGCCGCGGUAAUACAGAGGGUGCAAGCGUUAAUCGGAAUUACUGGGCGUAAAGCGCGCGUAGGUGGUUCAGUAAGAUGGGUGUGAAAUCCCCGGGCUUAACCUGGGAACUGCUUUCAUAACUGCUGAGCUAGAGUACGGUAGAGGGUAGUGGAAUUUCCUGUGUAGCGGUGAAAUGCGUAGAUAUAGGAAGGAACACCAGUGGCGAAGGCGACUACCUGGACUGAUACUGACACUGAGGUGCGAAAGCGUGGGGAGCAAAC